RNAcentral lists this ribosomal RNA (253 nucleotides) under uncultured bacterium. RNAcentral describes it as "partial 16S ribosomal RNA". It matches the Rfam family "Bacterial small subunit ribosomal RNA", at positions 524 to 776 of the family's 1533-position model. The record is from RNAcentral.
UACAUGGGGUGCAAACGUUGCUCGGAAUUAUUGGGCGUAAGGCGCACGUAGGCGGUUCGUUAAGUCGGAUGUGAAAGCCCUCGGCUCAACUGAGGAAGUGCACCCGAAACUGGCGAGCUUGAGUACGAAAGAGGAUCGCGGAAUUCCCGGUGUAGAGGUGAAAUUCGUAGAUAUCGGGAGGAACACCGGUGGCGAAGGCGGCGAUCUGGGUCGAUACUGACGCUGAGGUGCGAAAGCGUGGGGAGCAAACAGG